AUCGAAAAUACAAAUUUACGAAAUCCUUGAAAUUAUAGAUUUCAAAUCUCAUUUUUUCCAAAAUUAAAAAAAAAAUGAAAUCUAGAAUAAAAAAUUAAGAAUUAAGGAAUUUUUAAAAUUGCGAAAUUUACAAUUACAAAUCAACUACACUGAAAGAAACCAACAUAGCAAUCUCAAGUGUUAUUUCACGUGAGAGUCUCAAAAAAUCAACACAAUAAAUUCACGUGCUUUUACUUUGACCCACACAUGUUUUAAAUGUCAAAUAGAAGUGAAUAUAAUUUAAAACCAGCUGAUCAUUAUCCAAAGACGUUUCACUCUUUUCUCGAAUGCUGUUCACUGCAUAUUCAAAUGAAUUUCACUUAGAUUUGCCCCAUUUGACAUUUCCUUUGAUUUCGAAGUGGAAAGCACGUUGGAUUGAAAUGUUUUGGUUUUGAAAAGCGUGUGGAGAAAAUUCUCCAUUAGUAAGAUGGCCACGGACGAUGCUGGUGCAAAAUUUGCGUUUCGGAUCGAAAUAAAAAAUUUGCCAGCAAAUUUCCUAAACAUUUUAUGUUUGUGCACUUAAGCAAAUCAGAAUCCGGUCAGAGGUCGUCAGAGGAAUCUGCUCAGAUCCGGAGCUUAGCACAAAACAAAAGAGCAAGCGAUGUUUUUUCGAGAAUCACCAUGGACAUCAAGGGCGGGCUACGGAUACGCCAGCUGCCGGAUCGAGAAGUGUUUAAUAGUCUUGGUCACUUUUAUUCGGCCAGCUUGAUCCCGUUCUUGUACGAGGUUGACCGUGACGUUACACCGGCCCAGCAGGGCGUAAUUGUCGAGCACCUCGCAGGUUAUGUAUGGCACAGAUCAGCAUCACGCCGUCGGGACCUGGCCCGCAUUCUUCAAAGCAGCAGUGAAAGUUUAUUGUCAGUGAAAUGUGUGAUUUUAUGCAAUGAAUCCAAAAGAUGUUUUGAAUCAGAAAAAUAAAAUUUAUUUAUUUAUGAAA
Molecule: long non-coding RNA, 976 nt
Organism: Culex quinquefasciatus (southern house mosquito)
Lineage: Eukaryota; Metazoa; Arthropoda; Insecta; Diptera; Culicidae
Exons: 2
Source: RefSeq, a predicted model, not a curated record